AGGCUUAACACAUGCAAGUCGAGCGGAAACGAUGAUAGCUUGCUAUCAGGCGUCGAGCGGUGGACGGGUGAGUAAUACUUAGGAAUCUACCUAGUAGUGGGGGAUAGCUCGGGGAAACUCGAAUUAAUACCGCAUACGUCCUACGGGAGAAAGCAGGGGAUCAUUGGACCUUGCGCUAUUAGAUGAGCCUAAGUCGGAUUAGCUAGAUGGUGGGGUAAAGGCCUACCAUGGCGACGAUCUGUAGCUGGUCUGAGAGGAUGAUCAGCCACACCGGGACUGAGACACGGCCCGGACUCCUACGGGAGGCAGCAGUGGGGAAUAUUGGACAAUGGGGGGAACCCUGAUCCAGCCAUGCCGCGUGUGUGAAGAAGGCCUUUUGGUUGUAAAGCACUUUAAGCAGUGAAUAAGACUCUUCGGUUAAUACCCGGGGACGAUGACAUUAGCUGCAGAAUAAGCACCGGCUAACUCUGUGCCAGCAGCCGCGGUAAUACAGAGGGUGCAAGCGUUAAUCGGAAUUACUGGGCGUAAAGCGAGCGUAGGUGGCUUGAUAAGUCAGAUGUGAAAUCCCCGGGCUUAACCUGGGAACUGCAUCUGAAACUGUUAGGCUAGAGUAGGUGAGAGGGAAGUAGAAUUUCAGGUGUAGCGGUGAAAUGCGUAGAGAUCUGAAGGAAUACCGAUGGCGAAGGCAGCUCCUGGCAUCAUACUGACACUGAGGUUCGAAAGCGUGGGUAGCAAACAGGAUUAGAUUCUCUGGUAGUCCACGCCGUAAA
This 770-nucleotide ribosomal RNA is filed under the name Psychrobacter sp. K2-4L-010. Its description in RNAcentral is "bacterial SSU rRNA". It matches the Rfam family "Bacterial small subunit ribosomal RNA", at positions 44 to 806 of the family's 1533-position model. The record is from RNAcentral. Lineage: Bacteria; Pseudomonadati; Pseudomonadota; Gammaproteobacteria; Moraxellales; Moraxellaceae.